Molecule: long non-coding RNA, 2965 nt
Organism: Monodelphis domestica (gray short-tailed opossum)
Lineage: Eukaryota; Metazoa; Chordata; Mammalia; Didelphimorphia; Didelphidae
Source: RefSeq, a predicted model, not a curated record
AUAGGUUUAUCUUUGUUAAGGCAACAACUCAUUAUGACAUCACAGAAAAGGGCUGGCUGCCUCUGAAGCAAAUCAGAUGGUAUUACUUCAGAUGCCAGUUGCAGAGAACUUCCUGGGGCCCAGAAUCUUCUAGAAAGUAGGCUUCUUGAACUUUUUCCCAGGUUGUGGACACCAAUUUCCCUCUACCAUCUAAGACAACAGGAAGAAGUUCUACCACCUGCUGGAUUUCCCUAAUGUAUCCUAACUACCUAUCUCUCUCCCACUAACUGCCCCACAAAAUUAAUUACUAGGAGUUUGAUGAGUAUCCAUGAUUGGAAACACACUGACCUUCAGUGCUUUGUAGAUGACCCCUGGGUGCCUCGGAGAACGGGUAGUGUUAUUCUCCAGCUGCUGCUCCAAGGCCCGUCUGAGCCCAGAGAAAUCUGUAGGGGGAUUGUAAGUCCUUGUUCCUUUGUAGUGGAUGGAACUGAAAGCUUCAGGGAAUCGACCCAGCUUCCGGAAACGAUCCUGUAUCAGCUUCUCAGGUACUUCAGAGGGAUGAUCUGUAGAGGUACGAAUACAGCUAUUUCUUCCCAUACGCCCUUUCCACCACUUAAGGGAGCAGAAGGAAGCACCAUGCAAACAGGGUCUGAAGACACUGUUUCUCCCACAGUUAAUCCGAAGCAAUAAACUAAGAUGAAGCAAAGCUAGGUAUCAGUACAGAAUGAGUCCUUGGCCAAAUCACUUCUCCAAUAAUUUAGUCUGUAUCGUUUGCAAAAUGAUUCAUUUGCUUUCAAGCCUAAGAAGAAACACAUAUAAAGUAAAAGAGAAGUAGAAAUCAUAUGCAAUAAGGUGACAGAUCAAAUUAUUUGUUUUCCCCAAUUCUAUUCCUUCUCUCAGAAAUACACAGAAUUUUCCUGCUCUAAAUACCUCACAUUUCUAUAAAGAAUUCCUGACAAUGUAAUAUAAAAAGAUGGCUCAGUUACAGACCCAAAGGUAGCAAUGAAUCACUCUCCAAAAGCCCUGAAGAUUAAGUGUACAAUACUAGUUCAACAUACAGAAAAAAAUCUUAAGAGAAAAGUCUUUCUACCCCUUCUUUUUCUUAAAUUCAUAAUCAUGGAGCUGAAAAGAACCAUGGAAAUAAUUUAGUUCAACCUUCCUAUUUUCCUAGUAAAGUAAAGAAAUACCUAUUACAGGUCCCCUAAAACAAAUAUUACUGAUUUUAUAUUAUUCCUUCCUGCUUUCACCAGUUUGAAUAAAAUGUUAAUUUAGGGCAUUUAACUGGCAACAGGAUAUUGGAGCCCCCACUACUAAAAUUCUGGUCUACCAGUAACCCUUUGAUGAAUACAUUUGCAAAUCAUGUUACCACUGGAAUUUUAGCACUUUAGAGUGCUAGGUUAGAAGAUAGGAUCAAUAGUAUGCUACAGGAUAAUUAUUUUUUAACAGUUCUUUACUAAAUAGUUACCUAUGAUAUUACUAAAUCUAUUAACAUAAAACCAUUUUGCAAUGAGAUUCUGCUACAGAUCACCAAAUAAUCAUUUCCAAUUUCCCAAACUACAAGGGUAGUUUAUGUAAUAUAGUAAAGGUAAUAUUUCUUAAAUUCAUUAACUUUAUUUUUUUAUUAUGAACUUGAAAACAUUAACAACCAUAAACAUUUACUUCCACAAAGAAAAGAAGAAAAGAGGAUUGUAUAGGAUACAAUGUGAAAUUGAUUUCCUGUGUCCCUUUUCUGAACUUUCUUCUGCUCUUAUUCUCUGUAUUUUUAGUGUUCCAUUGAUUCUUUUUAUUUUUUUAACUCCUUUUCCCCCUUUUGGGAGAGAUGGAGGUAGGUAUUAUUAUCUUCCCAUUUCCCACCAUAAAAAUAGGGGAAAUUCCUCCUGAAUUAGAAAUAGUAUUAAGUGCUCCUAUAUCACUUACCAACUUAAAAGACAAGUAUACAUCAUGACUCAAAUACAGACUUCCACAGUCAGCUUUGUUACUAUUUCUUAUUUAAAAUUGAAUAACUAAUAUUGCAUAUUAAUUCAUGGGGAAAACACCUUAAGAAGUUAACACUUUUAAGAAAACAAGAUCUAAUAUGAUUAAAGCAAACUAACAGGAUCACAGGGCUUAGAACUAACUAGAAGGAACCUUAGUGAUCACCUAGUCUAGCAGUUCUUAUGGGGAAAACUCAAAGUCAGAAGUUUUCAUAAUAAUACUAAGAUGUUAUCUGCAUUAAAUUUCUCCUCCUUUUCUAACUACAUAUCUAUAUAAGACUGGAUUUCUUCACAUACUUCAACCAAAACAACAUAUCCUAACAGAUUGAAAGCAGAAGCAAAGAUGAGAAUCCAACUGUCUUCUAUUUAGCCAGACAUUUAAAGAGACAUGCAAAAAACAUGUAAAUCCAUGCCACUAAUCUCACUAUUUUUUUUUUUGGUUUUGGAAAGCUAUUUGAAUAAAAAUAGUAUUUAGUUAACAUGUAAUAGAUUUAUUAUUUUUUAAUUAAUAAAUAUUUUAGACUUCACAGAUCUUAAUUUGUAGAACAAUAAAUACUUAUAGAUGUAACCCACAUAAACAAAAGCUCUGAGGGUCUCAAUAAUUUUUAAGAUAAUUAAAGAAUACAGAGACGAAAUAAUUUGAGAAACACUAGUCUAGUCUAAUCUCUUCAUUUUACAGAUAUGGAAAUUGAGACAGAGAAAAAUGACUAACCAUAUGAAGGAAACAAGCAGAGAUAUAUUCAAAACCAGAUACUCUGACUCCAAAUCAAGUAUUUUUAUAUGAAAUACUUAGGCAAGUUCCUUUAAUAAAAAAAACUCUCUAAAGUUUCUCCUCCACCUUUUGUACCUCUUCUUUUGGGGAAAGGAAAGGAAAUUCAGCCAACCAAAGUUUAAUCCAAUACUAAGAGGGAAAAGAGCUACACAGAGAAAAUUAAAAUGGAGGAAAAAGAAAAAACUAUUACUAAAACUAUUACCAAGAAAGUGCUAACAAGCUAACAACUACUUCAUUUUUC